Molecule: ribosomal RNA, 254 nt
Filed under: uncultured bacterium
Lineage: Bacteria
Description: partial 16S ribosomal RNA
Rfam family: Bacterial small subunit ribosomal RNA
Source: RNAcentral
CACGUAGGGGGCGAGCGUUGUCCGGAUUUAUUGGGCGUAAAGAGCUCGUAGGCGGCUCAGUAAGUCAGGUGUGAAAACUCCAGGCUCAACCUGGAGACGCCACCUGAUACUGCUGUGGCUAGAGUCCGGUAGGGGAGCAUGGAAUUCCUGGUGUAGCGGUGAAAUGCGCAGAUAUCAGGAGGAACACCGGUGGCGAAGGCGCUGCUCUGGGCCGGUACUGACGCUAAGGCGCGAAAGCGUGGGGAGCGAACAGG